Molecule: ribosomal RNA, 406 nt
Filed under: uncultured bacterium
Lineage: Bacteria
Description: partial 16S ribosomal RNA
Rfam family: Bacterial small subunit ribosomal RNA
Source: RNAcentral
AUUGAACGCUGGCGGCAGGCCUAACACAUGCAAGUCGAACGAGAGGCGGACGGGCGAGUAAUGUCUGGGAAACUGCCUGGUGGAGGGGGAUAACCAUUGGAAAAGGUGCCUAAAAACGCAUACGAUCAGAUGUGCCCAGAUGGGGGUCGCUAGUUGGUGGGGUAGCGGCUCACAAAGGCGACGAUCCCUAGCUGGUAUGCGAGGAUGACCAGCCACACUGGAAGUGAGACACGGUCCAGACUCCGACGGGAGGCAGCAUUGGGGAAUAUUGCGCAAUGGGCGAAAGCCUGAUACAGCCAUGCCGCGUGUAUGAAGAGGGCCUUCGGGGUGUAAAGUACUUUCAGCGGGGAGGCGUUACCCGCAGAGGAAGCACCGGCUAACUCCGUGCCAGCAGCCGCGGUAAUUC